GUCGAGCGAUGAAACACCUUCGGGUGUGAAUUAGCGGCGAACGGGUGAGGAACACGUGAAGAAUCUGCCUUCAACUCUGGGAUAACUCCGGGAAACCGGGGCUAAUACCGGAUAUGAGCCUUGAUCGCAUGAUCGGGGCUGGAAAGUUUUUCGGUUGAAGAUGACUUCGCGGCCUAUCAGCUUGUUGGUGAGGUAAUGGCUCACCAAGGCGACGACGGGUAGCCGGCCUGAGAGGGCGACCGGCCACACUGGGACUGAGACACGGCCCAGACUCCUACGGGAGGCAGCAGUGGGGAAUAUUGGGCAAUGGAGGAAACUCUGACCCAGCGACGCCGCGUGAGGGAUGAAGGCCUUCGGGUUGUAAACCUCUUUCAGUAGGGAAGAAGCGAAAGUGACGGUACCUACAGAAGAAGCACCGGCUAACUAUGUGCCAGCAGCCGCGGUAAUACAUAGGGUGCAAGCGUUGUCCGGAAUUAUUGGGCGUAAAGAGCUCGUAGGUGGUUCGAUACGUCGGAUGUGAAAAUCAGGGGCUCAACCCCUGACCUGCAUCCGAUACGGUCGAGCUAGAGUUUGGUAGGGGAGACUGGAAUUCCUGGUGUAGCGGUGGAAUGCGCAGAUAUCAGGAGGAACACCGAUGGCGAAGGCAGGUCUCUGGGCCAAUACUGACACUGAGGAGCGAAAGCGUGGGGAGCGAACAGGAUUAGAUACCCUGGUAGUCCACGCCGUAAACGGUGGGCGCUAGUUGUGCGAACCUUCCACGGUUUGUGCGACGCAGCUAACGCAUUAAGCGCCCCGCCUGGGGAGUACGAUCGCAAGAUUAAAACUCAAAGGAAUUGACGGGGCCCCGCACAAGCAGCGGAGCAUGCGGCUUAAUUCGACGCAACGCGAAGAACCUUACCAAGGCUUGACAUAUACAGGAAUAUGGCAGAGAUGUCAUAGCCGCAAGGUCUGUAUACAGGUGGUGCAUGGUUGUCGUCAGCUCGUGU
Molecule: ribosomal RNA, 986 nt
Filed under: uncultured Actinomycetales bacterium
Lineage: Bacteria; Bacillati; Actinomycetota; Actinomycetes; Actinomycetales
Description: bacterial SSU rRNA
Rfam family: Bacterial small subunit ribosomal RNA
Source: RNAcentral